CUCAUUUGCUGCUAUGGAAACUGCAUCUAGUGGGUCUGACGGAAUUGAAAGCAGACCAGGCAGUGAAAGAAGCAAACGAGCUUCUGGAGAAAGCCUUAUAAGGAANNNNNNNUCUAUCAUUGUUUAUUGCGUCUUCUCUCUUCAUGAUAUGGCUUACACAGAGAUAUUUUCAUUAUGGGCUGUCAGCCCAAGAAAGUUUGGGGGGCA
RNAcentral lists this unclassified non-coding RNA (207 nucleotides) under Hevea brasiliensis (rubber tree). Lineage: Eukaryota; Viridiplantae; Streptophyta; Magnoliopsida; Malpighiales; Euphorbiaceae. The record is from RNAcentral.